Molecule: ribosomal RNA, 254 nt
Filed under: uncultured bacterium
Lineage: Bacteria
Description: partial 16S ribosomal RNA
Rfam family: Bacterial small subunit ribosomal RNA
Source: RNAcentral
CGGCGAAGCCGCGAGGUGGAGCGAAUCCCAAAAAGCCGGUCUAAGUUCGGAUUGCAGGCUGCAACCCGCCUGUAUGAAGUUGGAAUCGCUAGUAAUCGCGGAUCAGCAUGCCGCGGUGAAUACGUUCCCGGGCCUUGUACACACCGCCCGUCACACCAUGAGAGUCGGGAACACCCGAAGUCCGUAGCCUAACCGCAAGGGGGGCGCGGCCGAAGGUGGGUUCGAUAAUUGGGGUGAAGUCGUAACAAGGUAUC